Oreochromis niloticus (Nile tilapia) is the source of this 1010-nucleotide long non-coding RNA. RefSeq lists it as uncharacterized. The transcript has 3 exons. NCBI's taxonomy places the organism in Eukaryota, Metazoa, Chordata, Actinopteri, Cichliformes, Cichlidae. The record is from RefSeq and is a predicted model, not a curated record.
UUGGCAACAUCGUCCCCGUCGAUUGAAUCCUCAUUAUCAUCCUUUUAUAAUUGUUUUUUUCCCCCUCUUCUUUUUUUAUCGGAUAUUCUAAUGGCUGCUGUUGCAUGUAAUUAUGUAGCAAUUAUCUGCUUCCUUGCCUCAAACUGGUGUUCCAUUGCUGGAAUGCAAAGUCAGAUUGUGUCUAUUACACUCCCGCUGGCGUGGCAGGCUCACUUAGACUAUAGUCAGACCUCCUGAUCGGGGGACACGCUGAAUGUUUGCCUAAACUUCUCCUGAAAUCCAAAUAAUUUCUAUCCUUUUCAUUCCAUUCAUCGGCACAGUUUCAGCCACGUCUGCCCCACUCUGUGGUACAGAGUGAUAAUUAGUCUGCAAUCUCAGAGUGAAGAAAUCAUUGAUAUGUAUUUUUUUCUCCCUCUCUCUAUUUUCUUCUCUUCAAGUCAAGUUGAUUCUUUGAAGUCGGGUGUGAACUGCAUGCCCAGAGAGCACUUCUUUUCAGGCUGCAUUUUGAGGGAAAGGGCAAAAAAGAGAAAGCUUUGAGCUCUCACAUAGUGGUCUGAGUGAGGAGAAGGACUGAGAUCAUACAGAGAGGACGAGAUACUGAGAAAAAGCCAUUAGAGACAUCAGACAGACUCAAAGUACCGAUCUGAAGCACUUGAAUGUAAGUAAAACACACACUUUAAAAACAAUGACUUUCUUGCCUUUUAGAGCUAUUUCCACAGUGACAUCACUUUUUUUAAGGGCAGUUAUUUUCCAGAGUAGAGUUUGGUUAUUUUAGCCUUUUAAAAAGUUAUUUUUUGUCUCUUUCACUUAGUAUGUUGUAUUACUUUUUAAGUGGUUAGCUUUUAUUUACUUACUCAGGGGCAUUUUAUUGGUUUUGAUAAAUAAUUUAAAUGUCCUCCAGUGUUAGUGGGGUGUGUAUUUAUUUGUUAACGGUGUAAUUGUUGUUGCUGAUUAAAAAAACAAGAGCUUGCACCAUGAUGUCACAGGUGUUGUCAGAAAACAUACGAGCA